AUGAGAAGAGAUCGAGAGACUGCAUGGACGGAAGAGGGCCGUCUAGGCGUCGACGACGCGGAAGGAUUCCCUGUUCUUGAUGACGACGUCGUACAUGUGGACGGAGGAGAAGUGGUUGAAGUCCCUGGGGAGCGAGAUGAGGUCGAGGCAGCCGCGCUUGUGGAACUGGUACAGCGCCGGGUCCUCGUAGUAGCGCUCCCACCCCAGCGCCGUCAGCUUCGCCUCCAGCGUCGCGUACGACGACACCACCUGCCCGCUCGGCGUGUGCAGCAGCGCCUUCCGUCGCACCGUCGACGUCCGCUCGCUCCCCGGGUUCUCCACCAGGCGCACCACACCGUUCUUGAACACCCACACGCCAGACAUGGUCCACAGCCCUCCGGUCGGCCGACCUACCCCUCAACUCUCACCUUUCUAUCGGCUUAG
Molecule: ribosomal RNA, 423 nt
Filed under: Triticum aestivum (bread wheat)
Lineage: Eukaryota; Viridiplantae; Streptophyta; Magnoliopsida; Poales; Poaceae
Description: partial small subunit ribosomal RNA
Source: RNAcentral